RNAcentral lists this ribosomal RNA (119 nucleotides) under Pteropus alecto (black flying fox). Lineage: Eukaryota; Metazoa; Chordata; Mammalia; Chiroptera; Pteropodidae. The record is from RNAcentral.
GUCUACAGCCACGCUACCCUGAACAAGCCCGAUCCCGUCUGAUCUUGGAAGCUAAGCAGGGUCGGGCCUGGUUAAUACUUGGAUGGAAGACCACCUAGGAAGACCAGGUGCUGUAGAUG